Nothoprocta perdicaria is the source of this 372-nucleotide long non-coding RNA. RefSeq lists it as uncharacterized. The record is from RefSeq and is a predicted model, not a curated record. NCBI's taxonomy places the organism in Eukaryota, Metazoa, Chordata, Aves, Tinamiformes, Tinamidae. The transcript is spliced from 5 exons.
CUGCAUCUCUGCAUCUCUUCAAGGAGCCAUUCCCAGCUUUGUGAUUUCGAUGAGCUCUGAUGUUUYUGGGUUGAUAUCACCUGUGAAAAUCAAGCAUUCACAUGAACUGGAGCUUUCUGGCAACCCUGCAGGAAAUUCAAUAGGACCUGAAAAAGGGGUCAACCAAGUACUGUGACUUCUACUAUAAAAUAUUUCUGCUGUAACAUCAACACCAGAGAAUUCUAAGGAUCAAACUUUCAAUUCAAAUCUUUCCUUCAGAUGAGAUGUUACGCAUCACUCUUCUUUCACAUCCUGUCCAGAACUACUGAAUAUUUCCAUGUAAAUAGGAGCCAAACACAGUUGAUGGCUAUUUAAAGACGUUUGACAGCUGUG